RNAcentral lists this ribosomal RNA (213 nucleotides) under uncultured Actinomycetales bacterium. RNAcentral describes it as "partial 16S ribosomal RNA". It matches the Rfam family "Bacterial small subunit ribosomal RNA", at positions 117 to 334 of the family's 1533-position model. Lineage: Bacteria; Bacillati; Actinomycetota; Actinomycetes; Actinomycetales. The record is from RNAcentral.
GUGGGUGAUCUGCCCUGCACUUCGGGAUAAGCCUGGGAAACUGGGUCUAAUACCGGAUAGGAGCCAUUUUUAGUGUGAUGGUUGGAAAGUUUUUCGGUGUAGGAUGAGCUCGCGGCCUAUCAGCUUGUUGGUGGGGUAAUGGCCUACCAAGGCGGCGACGGGUAGCCGGCCUGAGAGGGUGGACGGCCACAUUGGGACUGAGAUACGGCCCAG